AUUGAACGCUGGCGGCAUGCCUAACACAUGCAAGUCGAACGGCAGCACAGCAGUAGCAAUACUGUGGGUGGCGAGUGGCGGACGGGUGAGUAAUGCAUCGGGACCUACCCAGACGUGGGGGAUAACCUCGGGAAACCGGGACUAAUACCGCAUACGUCCUACGGGAGAAAGCGGGGGACCUUCGGGCCUCGCGCGGUUGG
RNAcentral lists this ribosomal RNA (200 nucleotides) under uncultured bacterium. Its description in RNAcentral is "partial 16S ribosomal RNA". It matches the Rfam family "Bacterial small subunit ribosomal RNA", at positions 30 to 224 of the family's 1533-position model. The record is from RNAcentral.